AUAAACAAGUAAACGGAAGGCUUCAACAUGACCCUCCAGUUCAGUAACCAUUACUGCAGUAGCUGAGAACAACAAAAGAAACAAUAAACCAAGCUCAUUAAGUGAUUCUGACUGAUUUGAAAUUAAUCUGCAGUAAAUAGUAGAAUUAUAAUUCAAAAGAGAAUAUAACAAUUGAAGCAAUAUACCAAUUAAGGAAUUAAGUAGGAGAUAUACCAGAAUUUGUUAACCAAAAUAAAAAAGAAAACCUCCAAAGCUAAAGGAUUAAAAUGAACUUACUUCUGGAAACAUACUAGGACAAUCUGCAACAUGUUGGGCAAGAUUAAGAGAAGCCGGUGUAGUGAGUAUUUCUCCAGUAGUUAUAUGGCUGAAAUAGAAAGUAGCCAAGAAAUCCGCAGCAGAUGCACACUGAAAAAGCAUUAAAGAAAAAUGACUAAACUGAAGGACAUCUCAUGGCAUUAUAUUGUGUUUAUUACUUUAAGAAUGAUGCAAUAUACAUUAAGAAAUAGGUUUGCCAAACAGAGCAUCCUGAAGAAAUUCUGAGCACCAAAUUUAAGCAUAUCAACAUUAGAAAAGUUUUUCAACAAUGAAAUCAGUCACUAGUCUGCCUGAGAUUGACAGAAAAAUAGCAAACCAUAAUAUGUGAAUUUAGCAAAAUCGAGAUAACCAACCCUGAAACCUCAAGUUUAUUCUAGCAUCAAGCUACACAAUAGCAUCAGCUAUUUUCACUCGAAGAGAUCUCCUAACAGUGCCAAAAGCUAACUAUCUAAGACAAGCUUCAAUAUCCUCCCCCAGCUUUAGCAACGUUGCUACAGCAAGUCCAGUUUCACCCUAUUAUUACAAAUCAUUAGUUAAAUCAAAAAAGGGUCUGUCUCUAGUGGUGACGAUGGAAGAUGACAAUUUUCUCUUCCG
RNAcentral lists this long non-coding RNA (909 nucleotides) under Panax ginseng (ginseng). RNAcentral's name for it is "long non-coding RNA (PGIN_LNC000991)". Lineage: Eukaryota; Viridiplantae; Streptophyta; Magnoliopsida; Apiales; Araliaceae. The record is from RNAcentral.